Molecule: ribosomal RNA, 280 nt
Filed under: uncultured bacterium
Lineage: Bacteria
Description: partial 16S ribosomal RNA
Rfam family: Bacterial small subunit ribosomal RNA
Source: RNAcentral
GUGGAUUAGAUACCCUGGUAGUCCACGCCGUAAACGAUGGAUACUAGCUGUUGGGAGCAAUCUCAGUGGCUAAGCGAAAGUGAUAAGUAUCCCACCUGGGGAGUACGAACGCAAGUUUGAAACUCAAAGGAAUUGACGGGGGCCCGCACAAGCGGUGGAGCAUGUGGUUUAAUUCGAUGAUACGCGAGGAACCUUACCAAGGCUUAAAUGUAGUUUGACCGAUUUGGAAACAGAUCUUUCGCAAGACAAAUUACAAGGUGCUGCAUGGCCGUCGUCAACU